This 404-nucleotide ribosomal RNA is filed under the name uncultured bacterium. RNAcentral's name for it is "bacterial SSU rRNA". It matches the Rfam family "Bacterial small subunit ribosomal RNA", at positions 355 to 776 of the family's 1533-position model. The record is from RNAcentral.
UAGGGAAUUUUCCGCAAUGGGCGAAAGCCUGACGGAGCAACGCCGCGUGAGGGAUGAAGGUUUUCGGAUCGUAAACCUCUGUCCUUGGGGAAGAUAAUGACGGUACCCAAGGAGGAAGCCACGGCUAACUACGUGCCAGCAGCCGCGGUAAUACGUAGGUGGCAAGCGUUGUCCGGAAUUACUGGGCGUAAAGGGCGUGUAGGCGGCCGUUUAAGUCAGAUGUGAAAGCCCCGGGCUUAACCUGGGAAUUGCAUUUGAGACUGGAUGGCUUGAGGACCGGAGAGGGUAGUGGAAUUCCUAGUGUAGCGGUGAAAUGCGUAGAUAUUAGGAGGAACACCAGUGGCGAAGGCGACUACCUGGACGGCACCUGACGCUGAGGCGCGAAAGCCAGGGUAGCAAACGGG